RNAcentral lists this ribosomal RNA (359 nucleotides) under Pseudomonas sp. Its description in RNAcentral is "bacterial SSU rRNA". It matches the Rfam family "Bacterial small subunit ribosomal RNA", at positions 920 to 1267 of the family's 1533-position model. The record is from RNAcentral. Lineage: Bacteria; Pseudomonadati; Pseudomonadota; Gammaproteobacteria; Pseudomonadales; Pseudomonadaceae.
CCCGCACAAGCGGUGGUAGUAUGUGGUUUAAUUCGAUGCAACGCGAAGAACCUUACCUGGUCUUGACAUCCACGGAACUUUCCAGAGUAUGGAUUGGUGCCUUCGGGAACCGUGAGACAGGUUGCUGCAUGGCUGUCGUCAGCUCGUGUUCGUGAGAUGUUUGGGUUAAGUCCCUGCAACGAGCGCAACCCUUGUCCUUAGUUGCCAGCUACGUAAUGGUGGGUAACUCUAAGGAGACCGCCGGUGACAAACCGGAGGAAGUGUGGGGAUGACGUCAAUGUCAUCAUGGCCCUUACGACCAGGGCUACUACACGUACUACAAUGGUAGGGACAGAGGGCUGCAAACCCGCGAGGGCAAG